RNAcentral lists this non-coding RNA (943 nucleotides) under Aegolius acadicus (northern saw-whet owl). RNAcentral describes it as "partial 12S ribosomal RNA". It matches the Rfam family "Bacterial small subunit ribosomal RNA". The record is from RNAcentral. Lineage: Eukaryota; Metazoa; Chordata; Aves; Strigiformes; Strigidae.
AAAGACUUAGUCCCAACCUUACCGUUAAUUAUUGCCAGAUACAUACAUGCAAGUAUCCGCACUCCAGUGUAAAUGCCCCUGCCUUGCAAAUCAAGUCGGGGAGCGGGCAUCAGGCACACCUAGCCAUCGUGGGUAGCCCAAGACGCCUUGCACCAGCCACACCCACACGGGUACUCAGCAGUAGUUGACAUUAAGCAAUAGGCGCAAGCUUGACUUAGUCAUGGCAACAUCCAGCCAAGGGUUGGUAAAUCUUGUGCCAGCCACCGCGGUCAUACAAGAGACCCAAGUUAACAGUAGACGGCGUAAAGGGUGGCACUUGCAGUAUCCCCCAAACUAGGGUGAAAACACAACCAAGCCGUCAUAAGCUUAGGGUGUACCUAAAGCCACCACUAAAGUGACCCUAGCACGCACUACGAUGGACAAACUCCACGAAAGCCAGGGCCCAAACUGGGAUUAGAUACCCCACUAUGCCUAGCCAUAAAUCCCGAUGUCCACUAUCACCCACCAGGACAUCCGCCAGAGCACUACGAGCACAAACGCUUGAAACUCUAAGGACUUGGCGGUGCCCCAAAUCCACCUAGAGGAGCCUGUCCUGUAAUCGACAACCCACGAUACACCCGACCACCCCUAGCACGAACAGCCUAUAUACCGCCGUCGCCAGCUCACCUCCUGAGAGUUCAACAGUGAGCGCAAGAGUUGAACCCACUAAUAAGACAGGUCGAGGUAUAGCUCAUGGGGCGGAAGAGAUGGGCUACAUUCUCUAAAAUAGAGAAUCUAACGGACGGGGGCGUGAAAUCACCCCCUAAAGGCGGAUUUAGCAGUAAAGAGUAGCCUCAUAAAACUACCUUUAACAAGGCCCUGGGGCACGUACAUACCGCCCGUCACCCUCCUCGCAAGCUACCGUCACCCUAUAACUAAUGCGCUAACAAGCUAAAGAUGAGGU